GGUGGUGGGGGACUGGGAAGCUGGUCGUUUCCUGUUACCCGAAAUCGACCUAUGCGGGAGUCCGCUGUCAACCGUGAAACUCUGCCCUAACAGGUCGGCGGCGGAGGAGCGCUCUCUGAAGAGAGGGUUGCUAUCUUCUCACGGUCGAAUCCGGCGAGGCCCGGAAGGGAGCAGUCGUAAGGUCGACGUUCGACGCAGUUGGGAUCCCAGGGUCGAGACGACGACUGGGACACCCUGCCUGGAAGAGAUGCCCAUCACC
Molecule: non-coding RNA, 259 nt
Organism: Crenarchaeota archaeon 13_1_40CM_3_52_4
Lineage: Archaea; Thermoproteati; Thermoproteota
Source: Rfam